RNAcentral lists this long non-coding RNA (691 nucleotides) under Homo sapiens (human). RNAcentral describes it as "MIR663A host gene". Lineage: Eukaryota; Metazoa; Chordata; Mammalia; Primates; Hominidae. The record is from RNAcentral.
GUGUCUGUGGCGGUGGGAUCCCGCGGCCGUGUUUUCCUGGUGGCCCGGCCAUGCCUGAGGUUUCUCCCUCAGCCGCCCCUCUGCGGGCUCCCAGAAAUACUAGGCUUUAGAAUUUCACCAUAUGAAUUUUGGGAGAGAGGAGCACAGUUCAGCCCAUAACUAACACACGUGAUGAAGAAGACAUGCCAACAGAGGGUUAAUUCCAGAUAAAAUGAAAUGUUCCAAACAGUACGUUUGGUUAUUUGAUUCAUCUGUGGGGGAAGGAAAGAUAAUUUUCCAAAGGACAUUCCUCCUAAAUUCUGUCUUAAAGUUGUUUACGGAAUGAAGUUGAUAAUAGUGAGACCUUGUUGGUACAAGACUAUGUAACAUAACCUGCGCUUCUCAACAAAGAAUUGCUUUUCUGACUUCUGCACUCAACUACUCAACAUGAAGGCAAUAAGAAUGAAGACCUCUAUGUAUAAUAAUUGACUUCCACUUAAUAAAUAAGGUUACUUGGUACACUGGUCGACAAAACCUUGAAAUGUUGAUGUUUAAGGGCUGUUGAUUGCUGGCAGCAAAGAAGUCCAACUGUGCUGGUACCCGAGAUAGCGUCUCCACAUUUUCUUCCAGGAUCAUCACCUUUGUUCUAAAUAGCUCCCACAUAGUGUGAACAGAAGUCAUAUGUUUUAGAUUUUCUGCCUUGGCACCCAGG